UACGUAGGGGGCAAGCGUUGUCCGGAUUUACUGGGCGUAAAGCGCGCGUAGGCGGGAAGAGAAGUCCGGUGGGAAAGCCCACGGCUCAACCGUGGAAGGACGCUGGAAACUCUCUUUCUUGAGGGCGGCAGAGGGAAGUGGAAUUGCUGGUGUAGCGGUGAAAUGCGUAGAUAUCAGGAGGAACACCGGUGGCGAAGGCGGGUCUCUGGGCCGAUAUUGACGCUGAGGAGCGAAAGCGUGGGGAGCGAACAGG
This 253-nucleotide ribosomal RNA is filed under the name uncultured bacterium. RNAcentral describes it as "partial 16S ribosomal RNA". It matches the Rfam family "Bacterial small subunit ribosomal RNA", at positions 524 to 776 of the family's 1533-position model. The record is from RNAcentral.